CCUACGGGGGGCUGCAGUGAGGAAUAUUGGUCAAUGGGCGCUAGCCUGACCCAGCCAAGUAGCGUGAAGGAUGACUGCCCUAUGGGUUGUAAACUUCUUUUAUAUGGGAAUAAAGUGCAGUAUGUAUACUGCUUUGCAUGUACCUUAUGAAUAAGGAUCGGCUAACUCCGUGCCAGCAGCCGCGGUAAUACGGAGGAUUCGAGCGUUAUCCGGAUUUAUUGGGUUUAAAGGGAGCGUAGGCGGGUUGUUAAGUCAGUUGUGAAAGUUUGCGGCUCAACCGUAAAAUUGCAGUUGAUACUGGCAGCCUUGAGUACAGUAGAGGUAGGCGGAAUGCGUGGUGUAGCGGUGAAAUGCUUAGAUAUCACGAAGAACUCCGAUUGCGAAGGCAGCCUGCUGGACUGUAACUGACGCUGAUGCUCGAAAGUGUGGGGAGCAAACAGGAUUAGAUACCCGGGGAGUC
RNAcentral lists this ribosomal RNA (460 nucleotides) under uncultured bacterium. Its description in RNAcentral is "partial 16S ribosomal RNA". It matches the Rfam family "Bacterial small subunit ribosomal RNA", at positions 338 to 795 of the family's 1533-position model. The record is from RNAcentral.